AAAAACACCCCGAAAAAAUAAUACCCGAAUAAAAAUUACCUUUUACUAGCUAAAAUUUACCAUUUUUACCGUAGUCGUAUUUUCCUCAUACGAAUAAUCCUCCGCACAUAAUCGUUCCCGAAACCCCUCUAGGGACCAAUUAAACUAUUUACUCAAUGAUCGAGACGGUAAAAUUCUUAUUAUAAUCACGCUAGUAAAUAAGGUAAAAAUAUAAGGGUCGGGAUGUGACAUCGGGUGCGUGGUGAGGGAGGUGAAGCAAUUUUGAUAAGGGAGGAGUAGGUACAGUGAGGGAAGGCGCAUGGUAAGAGAGUAGAUCCGGUGUGUGAGGGUGCAUGGCUCUGCGGUAGGUGUAGUUGUAUUUUUGUAGCUGAUAGGUAGCUUGAUUAUUCGUGUUGUAGUUUUGACUGAUUAUUGGCAGUUAAUAACUCGAUUAUAUUUUGGUAUUUCUUCUUUUCUGUUACAAUAAGCUAAAAUAAGUUGAUUAUUGGGGGUCAGUAACUGGUUAUUGGGGUCAGGAACCAAGUUAUUGGGGGUCAAUAACCGAUUGGGAGUCAGUAACUGAGUUACUGGGGGUCGGUAACCAAGUUAUUGGUUACCGAAAUCCAGCGAUCGAAGAAAAUCUGAGUUACUGGGGGUUGGUGAUCGGAAUUCGGCGACCGGAAAAAAUCCGGCAACCGGUGACCGGAAUCCGAUUACCGGUGACUGGACAACAGUGAGGCUCCGGCAAAGUCUUCUCUCUCUCUCUCUAUGCAUAUUUCAGAGAUGAGGGUAAAAUAGUCUUAAAAUAAUAUAGUUUGCUAAUUUGUGCAUUUGGACAUAAAAAAUGUUACCUUAUAUUGGAAUGGGCUCAUGAAAAAGAUUCUCAUUGUAAUAGGAAAUGAGGGGUUUAAAUUAGUACUAAAUUGGCAUUUUUCCUUACAUGAACGAGGACAAAUUGUCUAUUUAAUCAAAAUCUGAAAAUUUACAAUUUUGACAACACAUUCGUCUUUAAUUUUGUAAAAUGGGUCAUAAAUAUGUAAAUUUGGUUCACACUUCGUAAUUACAAGUUUACAACAUAAGGACAUUUAUUUCAAAAGUUUUAACCAAAGGUCUUAUGUUUAAGUAAAAAAAAAAAAAGUUAAAAAAACCACAAUAUAGAAAACUGGCGAUGGGUACUCUAGAAUUUUCCAUUAAAAUUCGUUACAAACAAAAUUUUAUAUCAUUGCGACGAUCCCAAUGAGAUCUUUCAUAUGUGACCCAUAUCGAAUAUAUUUAUAUAAAAUAUUUUUCACGAUUAAUUAUUGAAUUAAACAAAUAUAUGACAAAAGAAAGAAAGAAAAAAAGGUUUUACCUUAAGAUUUAGCUUACGGUGAGAGUGUUUCUUAAGCGAAAAUACUAUUAAUUUAGCUAAGGAUUUAGCUUAUGGUGGGAGUAUUGGAAAAUUCUACAUUACCCACCGGUUUUCUAUACUGUGGUUUUUUUUAAUAUUUUUUACAAACAUAAGAUCAUUUAGUUAAAAAUUUUAUAAUAAAUAUCCAUAUUUUGUAAUUACGAAGUAUGAACCAAAUUUACAUAUUUAUGACAAUCUUUUACAAAAUUGAGGAUGAAUGUG
Molecule: long non-coding RNA, 1591 nt
Filed under: Fragaria vesca (wild strawberry)
Lineage: Eukaryota; Viridiplantae; Streptophyta; Magnoliopsida; Rosales; Rosaceae
Description: long non-coding RNA (FVES_LNC004103)
Source: RNAcentral